This 292-nucleotide ribosomal RNA is filed under the name uncultured bacterium. RNAcentral's name for it is "partial 16S ribosomal RNA". It matches the Rfam family "Bacterial small subunit ribosomal RNA", at positions 505 to 796 of the family's 1533-position model. The record is from RNAcentral.
GUGCCAGCAGCCGCGGUAAGACGAACUGUCCUAACGUUGUUCGGAAUCACUGGGCUUAAAGGGCGCGUAGGCGGUCCGCCAAGUCAGGGGUGAAAUCCUGCAGCUUAACUGUAGAAGUGCCUCUGAUACUGGCGGUCUUGAGGGAAAUAGGGGUGUGCGGAACUUCCAGUGGAGCGGUGAAAUGCGUUGAUAUUGGAAGGAACGCCGGAGGCGAAAGCGGCGCACUGGAUUUCUUCUGACGCUGAGGCGCGAAAGCUAGGGGAGCAAACGGGAUUAGAUACCCCCGUAGUCC